CUCAGCGAAAACAGGCUGCCCACGUAGGACGCCCCGCCGAACGAUACACACACACCACCCAGGAUGAAGAAGGCUGGGGGUGGGGAGAGAGAGAGAGGAGGAUGACCAAAAUAGAAUAUAGAGCCACACCCCUGGCCCUCCUAGUCUCCUUACCAUAUCCUGCCUCUCGUCCCACAUCACUCUGGACGAAAGCGAUGACCCCGAUCCCGGUGGCCAGGAGUCCGUUCCGGAACCAAGACAGGAACCCUAGAACAGAACAUCACGGAGCUUACAGCCCAGUCUGAAAACAACCCCUCACCUCUUUCUCUAACCCUACCAGUGUUUGCAGUCAGGAGCUUUUCCCAUAUUGCUCACGUUUCUGGAUUCAGAUGUGUAGCCUACAGAUGCAUGCAUAUUGUGUUUAUCUUCUUUCGCUACAAUAACUGGUCUAACUGUGCCAACAGGAAUUCUACCAAAAUGCAUAGCAAAGUAAUUCAAUAAAUAGCCUAGGUCUUUGAACCUCUUCCUAAUCUAAAUGUGCAGUUACCAGUUUCGUGGGACUUUUUCAGCAUCUGCAGAGCAAAACAAAAAUAGCAGUGAUUUAGAAAGGUGGUUCAUGUCCGCACACAGAUCCUUUCUGUAACGCUGGAGUACAUUCAAGUCAUUUGGAAAAGCAACAAGGCGAAUCAAGUCGCACAUCAUUUUCUGGAAUGGCAAGACUUUACCGUCCCUUUGAACUUACCAAGGCAUCCGCCUUAUCGAGUUCUGUCAGAAGAUGAUACUCUGGCAUCCGAGCCUUGCCCCAUGGCCCCUUCUCAGCCACCCAUUUCCGCGACGACCCGUGGACUCUCCUCACCGGCAGUCCCCCGAGGUACUGAGGCCUGACGUGCUUCACAACCCAGGCGAACUGAUUUGCAAUCCGCGGCAGC
This is a long non-coding RNA of Oncorhynchus kisutch (coho salmon), 908 nucleotides long. RefSeq lists it as uncharacterized. The record is from RefSeq and is a predicted model, not a curated record. NCBI's taxonomy places the organism in Eukaryota, Metazoa, Chordata, Actinopteri, Salmoniformes, Salmonidae. The transcript is spliced from 2 exons.